UACGGAGGAUGCGAGCGUUAUCCGGAUUUAUUGGAUUUAAAGGGUGCGUAGGCGGAUUUUUAAGUCAGCGGUAAAAUGUCCGGGCUCAACCCGGGCCGGCCGUUGAAACUGGGGAUCUUGAGUGGGCGAGAAGUAUGCGGAAUGCGUGGUGUAGCGGUGAAAUGCAUAGAUAUCACGCAGAACUCCGAUUGCGAAGGCAGCAUACCGGCGCCCGACUGACGCUGAGGCACGAAAGCGUGGGGAUCGAACGGG
RNAcentral lists this ribosomal RNA (252 nucleotides) under uncultured bacterium. Its description in RNAcentral is "partial 16S ribosomal RNA". It matches the Rfam family "Bacterial small subunit ribosomal RNA", at positions 524 to 776 of the family's 1533-position model. The record is from RNAcentral.